Molecule: ribosomal RNA, 243 nt
Filed under: uncultured bacterium
Lineage: Bacteria
Description: partial 16S ribosomal RNA
Rfam family: Bacterial small subunit ribosomal RNA
Source: RNAcentral
ACUCCUACGGGAGGCAGCAGUGGGGAAUCUUGGACAAUGGGCGCAAGCCUGAUCCAGCCAUGCCGCGUGAGUGACGAAGGCCUUAGGGUUGUAAAGCUCUUUUAGCAGGGAAGAUAAUGACGGUACCUGCAGAAUAAGCCCGCCGUACACUUCGUGCCAGCAGCCGCGGUGAUACGAAGGGGGUAGCGUUGUUCGGAAUUACUGGGCGUAAAGCGCACGUAGGCGGAUCAUUUAGUCAGGGUG